Molecule: ribosomal RNA, 253 nt
Filed under: uncultured bacterium
Lineage: Bacteria
Description: partial 16S ribosomal RNA
Rfam family: Bacterial small subunit ribosomal RNA
Source: RNAcentral
UACAGAGGUCUCAAGCGUUGUUCGGAUUCAUUGGGCGUAAAGGGUGCGUAGGUGGCGCCGUAAGUCGGGUGUGAAAUUUCGGAGCUUAACUCCGAAACUGCAUUCGAUACUGCGGUGCUUGAGGACUGGAGAGGAGACUGGAAUUCAUGGUGUAGCAGUGAAAUGCGUAGAUAUCGGAAGGAACAUCAGUGGCGAAAGCGACUUCCUGGACCAAUACUGACGCUCAUGUGCGAAAGCGUGGGGAGCAAACAGG